GACGAACGCUGGCGGCGUGCCUAAUACAUGCAAGUUGAGCGCUGAAGGUUGGUACUUGUACCGACUGGAUGAGCAGCGAACGGGUGAGUAACGCGUGGGGAAUCUGCCUUUGAGCGGGGGACAACAUUUGGAAACGAAUGCUAAUACCGCAUAAAAACUUUAAACACAAGUUUUAAGUUUGAAAGAUGCAAUUGCAUCACUCAAAGAUGAUCCCGCGUUGUAUUAGCUAGUUGGUGAGGUAAAGGCUCACCAAGGCGAUGAUACAUAGCCGACCUGAGAGGGUGAUCGGCCACAUUGGAACUGGACCACGGCCCAAACUCCUACGGGAGGCAGCAGUAGGGAAUCUUCGGCAAUGGACGAAAGUCUGACCGAGCAACGCCGCGUGAGUGAAGAAGGUUUUCGGAUCGUAAAACUCUGUUGGUAGAGAAGAACGUUGGUGAGAGUGGAAAGCUCAUCAAGUGACGGGAACUACCCAGAAAGGGACGGCUAACUACGU
Molecule: ribosomal RNA, 496 nt
Filed under: uncultured bacterium
Lineage: Bacteria
Description: partial 16S ribosomal RNA
Rfam family: Bacterial small subunit ribosomal RNA
Source: RNAcentral